This 253-nucleotide ribosomal RNA is filed under the name uncultured bacterium. RNAcentral's name for it is "partial 16S ribosomal RNA". It matches the Rfam family "Bacterial small subunit ribosomal RNA", at positions 524 to 776 of the family's 1533-position model. The record is from RNAcentral.
UACGUAGGGGGCAAGCGUUGUCCGGAUUUACUGGGCGUAAAGCGCGUGUAGGCGGCUACGCAGGCCCGUUGUGAAAACUGGAGGCUCAACCUCCAGACGUCGACGGAAACCGUGUGGCUAGAGUCCGGAAGAGGAGAGUGGAGUUCCUGGUGUAGCGGUGAAAUGCGCAGAUAUCUGGAGGAACACCGGUGGCGAAGGCGGCAUCCUGGACCAAUAUUGACGCUGAGGAGCGAAAGCCAGGGGAGCAAACGGG